This 432-nucleotide ribosomal RNA is filed under the name uncultured bacterium. RNAcentral's name for it is "partial 16S ribosomal RNA". It matches the Rfam family "Bacterial small subunit ribosomal RNA", at positions 29 to 506 of the family's 1533-position model. The record is from RNAcentral.
AACGAACGCUGGCGGCAUGCCUAACACAUGCAAGUCGAACGAGACCUCCGGGUCUAGUGGCGCAAGGGUGCGUAACGCGUGGGAACCUGCCCUUAGGUUCGGAAUAACUCCCCGAAAGGGGUGCUAAUACCGGAUAAUGUCUUCGGACCAAAGAUUUAUCGACUUUGGAUGGGCCCGCGUUGGAUUAGCUUGUUGGUAGGGUAAAAGCCUACCAAGGCGACGAUCCAUAGCUGGUCUGAGAGGAUGAUCAGCCACACUAGGACUGAGACAAGGCCCAGACUCCGACGGGAGGCAGCAGUGAUGAAUAUUGAACAAAGGGCGAAAGCCUGAUCCAGCAGUGCCGCGUGAGUGAUGAAGGCCUUAGGAUUGUAAAGCUCUUUUACCCGGGAUGUUAAUGACAGGACCGGGAGAAGAAGCUGCGGCUAACUCGGU